AUUGAACGCUGGCGGCAUGCCUUACACAUGCAAGUCGAACGGCAGCACGGGUGCUUGCACCUGGUGGCGAGUGGCGAACGGGUGAGUAAUACAUCGGAACAUGUCCUGUAGUGGGGGAUAGCCCGGCGAAAGCCGGAUUAAUACCGCAUACGAUCUACGGAUGAAAGCGGGGGACCUUCGGGCCUCGCGCUAUAGGGUUGGCCGAUGGCUGAUUAGCUAGUUGGUGGGGUAAAGGCCUACCAAGGCGACGAUCAGUAGCUGGUCUGAGAGGACGACCAGCCACACUGGGACUGAGACACGGCCCAGACUCCUACGGGAGGCAACAGUGGGGAAUUUUGGACAAUGGGCGAAAGCCUGAUCCAGCAAUGCCGCGUGUGUGAAGAAGGCCUUCGGGUUGUAAAGCACUUUUGUCCGGAAAGAAAUCCUUGGCCCUAAUACGGUCGGGGGAUGACGGUACCGGAAGAAUAAGCACCGGCUAACUACGUG
Molecule: ribosomal RNA, 486 nt
Filed under: uncultured bacterium
Lineage: Bacteria
Description: partial 16S ribosomal RNA
Rfam family: Bacterial small subunit ribosomal RNA
Source: RNAcentral